GAUGAACGCUGGCGGCGUGCUUAACACAUGCAAGUCGAACGGGAUCGGCUGGAGCUUGCUCCGGCCGUGAGAGUGGCGAACGGGUGAGUAAUGCGUGACCGACCUGCCCCAUACACCGGAAUAGCUCCUGGAAACGGGUGGUAAUGCCGGAUGCUCCGACAUGACGCAUGUCGUGUCGGGAAAGAUUCAUCGGUAUGGGAUGGGGUCGCGUCCUAUCAGCUUGAUGGCGGGGUAACGGCCCACCAUGGCUUCGACGGGUAGCCGGCCUGAGAGGGCGACCGGCCACAUUGGGACUGAGAUACGGCCCAGACUCCUACGGGAGGCAGCAGUGGGGAAUAUUGCACAAUGGGCGCAAGCCUGAUGCAGCGACGCCGCGUGCGGGAUGACGGCCUUCGGGUUGUAAACCGCUUUUGACUGGGAGCAAGCC
Molecule: ribosomal RNA, 427 nt
Filed under: uncultured bacterium
Lineage: Bacteria
Description: bacterial SSU rRNA
Rfam family: Bacterial small subunit ribosomal RNA
Source: RNAcentral